CCGCCGGCGACCGGCGCACGGGUGAGUAACACGUAUGCAACCUGGCCGUGACAGAUGGAUAACCGGGAGAAAUCCCGCCUAAUACAGCAUGACGCCGGGAAGGGACAUCCCUUUCCGGCCAAAGGGGGCGACUCCGGUCACGGAUGGGCAUGCGGCGCAUUAGGUAGUUGGUGGGGCAACGGCCCACCAAGCCGACGAUGCGUAGGGGUUCUGAGAGGAAGGUCCCCCACAUUGGAACUGUGACACGGUCCAAACUCCUACGGAAGGCAGCAG
RNAcentral lists this ribosomal RNA (273 nucleotides) under uncultured bacterium. RNAcentral describes it as "partial 16S ribosomal RNA". It matches the Rfam family "Bacterial small subunit ribosomal RNA", at positions 85 to 354 of the family's 1533-position model. The record is from RNAcentral.